This 89-nucleotide transfer RNA is filed under the name Trifolium pratense (red clover). RNAcentral's name for it is "tRNA tRNA-Tyr". It matches the Rfam family "tRNA". From Rfam's summary of the family: Transfer RNA (tRNA) molecules are approximately 80 nucleotides in length. Their secondary structure includes four short double-helical elements and three loops (D, anti-codon, and T loops). Lineage: Eukaryota; Viridiplantae; Streptophyta; Magnoliopsida; Fabales; Fabaceae. The record is from Rfam by way of RNAcentral.
CCGACCUUAGCUCAGUUGGUAGAGCGGAGGACUGUAGUGGUAAUGCCUCGGUAAUCCUUAGGUCGCUGGUUCGAAUCCGGCAGGUCGGA